CCCCCCGCAAGGUUCCCAGAGGGUGUUGCAAGAAUCAAGGAACCUCGGUCAGGGCCUCAAGAAGCUAGGUAUGUACACAUGUGCUCCAGAGCCUUGCCCAUGCCUGGCACAUAGUAGGCACUCAGUAAAUGCUGAAUGGGUGAAUGAUAGGUGCUCAAUAAACGUCGAAUGACCUUCUCUUCUCAGGCUAUUCCUACCAUCAUCAGUCUGCCCACCUUUCUAGGUCAAGCUUGGCCACCAUUCAGUGCGGGCUGGGGUGAGGGCCCUGCAGUUCACGGUGCAAUAUUUAACCAGUUUUGCCCUCCGCCUCGGAAGGCCAAGCUGGAUUUUGAUUACCACGUGCGGAUGUGUGUGUGUCCUUUCUUCUCUGUCCUUGGCAGUAGUGGGUGGGCUGUGAGUGAAUAUGUGACAUUUCCAUAAUUCAAUACCCCCAAGUUCUCUUGGGGACAGGGGCUCCUGGCCGGCCAGAUAUAUGGGUCCCUGGGAACCCAGACCUCAAGUGGGACCUUUUCUUCCUUUCACAAGCCAAAUUUGCCUCCACCCACUCCCUCUAAAAAACCGGGCACUUGCCAAAGUAACCACUGGAGUCAUCCAAGGCCCUCCCCUUCCCAGGUCUCCCACAGUUUUCAGGGACAGUGGGCAAGAGGACCGCCCCCACACCUCAGUGGAACAGCCUUUCCCCUCCCUGACAGCGCACUCAGUGCAGGAGACCCAUCCCGUCCCGCCUGCCCUCACCUCGGACAGGAAGGAAGUAAUGCACCUUCUCUUGCUAAUUAUUUAUUUGUUUGGAGAGACAAAUGAUGUAAAAGUGUAUCUAGAAAUAUCUAUCUAUAUAUUUUUAACUGACUCUGGAAUCCCCUGGGGUGGGGGGAUAGGCUCUUGCGGAGAGGGACAGAGCCUGGGAGCUGGUCCCUGGCAGUCCGGAUCCUCUUCCUCAUUCUGUCCCAGUUGAGAGGGAGGGGUAGAGACAAGGGAGGGGAGACCCGUCAUGGAGGUGACCCACCCCCAAACCCGACAAUCACCCACACUCCUGGGGCUCCUUCCGGGCCGGGCAGGCGAGUCCAAGUGUGCGGCUGUUGGUUUGUUUUGGAUAUUUCUUUCGUGCUGUACGGUGAUGCUUUCUUAGUAUUCUACACAAUAAGAAAAGACAGAAGUCCUCGAGAUUCUUAUGAGUUUUGUUUGAAAACUCUUUCACUAUAUUUGUUGUAAAGAGGUUUACUAUUAAAAGAAAAAGAACACACGUUUCUGAUACUCCGUCUUGGGCUUUGCUUUCUUUGGUGCGGCCGAGGGGGAAGGGCUGGGGCAGCCCUGCCAGGGUUCAAGGCCCGAGCUUCACCCAUGGCGGAGGAUGGUGGGCGUGGGGUGAGCACUUCCCGGUGUCCCUGGAGGGUGUGCUCCAGGUGCUCUGCCAGGAGGAGGCAGCCCCAGGACGGGGGACAGGUUGUCUAGCUCGAAGGAAGCUUCAGGAGGGACCCUGGGACAUCAAAGCAACCAAGCCACCCGAAGCCAGUCCAGCCCUCUGAGGCCAGUCCAGCCCUCUGACUGCCGAAACCUGUAUGGCCACAGGCGCGGCCCAGGUGUGGUCCACCUUGGAGCCGCAGCCUCCCCCGCAGGGCCCUCUGCUCUUGGCUCUCGUGGGAAGGACCUUGACAGUGCCAGGGAAACACUCCUUCUUCUCACCGGUCCCAAAAGGCCCCCCACCUCGCGCCCUCUGCUGAGCCGAGCUGCCCCUGCCGUGCCCCCUCACCACAGCUGUGCCGGGGCUGGAGGUGGGACCUGUGCUGGGUGCUGGCAUCGGGGUCCCGGGCAGAACAACCUCACAGAUCACAGCACAUGUUCAGGGACGUGGGGGCCGGAAAUUCAGGCUGCCGCCCGCACACACGGGAGUCAGGCAAGACACAGGAGUGCCUUUGUGGCUUGGGUUUCCUCAUCCGCAAAAUGCCUCCAUCUGUGCUGAGCCCUGUCAUUACCUCAUGAUCUCGUCAGCAGGACAGAGGGACAACAAAAACCAAGCAGGAAGUGUCCUCUAGGCCAGCUUCUGGAAGCAGCUUCCAAGAUGACCUCCACCUCCCGGCCUGGUAUUCACACCUCUCUGGUCCCCUCCCACACUCAUCGUGGUCAUCCUGUGCGGCCAGUGAAAGGCGGUGGGAGUGAAGCAUGUGACUGCCAGGGCUAAGUCAUGGCUCCUACUUGGGUCUCUUUCAUCAUUUGCCUUGGAGGAAACCAGAUGCCAUGUUGUGGGACCGCCCUCUGGAGAGGCCCAUGUGGCAAGGAACCGAGGCCUCAGCCAGCUGCCAUUCAAGAGAGUCAUCUCCUCUGCUCUUUAGUUCCCAGGCUUCACCACUCAUGGCUACAGACAAAGACUCCCUGGCACAACGUACCCCCGGCUCACCCAUGUCCAUGGAGAGAGGUCUUCCUCUAAGGUGACCAGAACAGUCCUGACCUAACAUCCAAUCCCUGAGCAAAACCCUUCUGUUCUGUGCAUCUCCUCUCUGGACCUCAGCCUCCUAGGCCUGCCGUUCCUUUCCCACAGGUGUAGCAGUGUUCCUUUCCUCAUGAGGUAUGCCUGUUCUCUUCUCCUUCCUGCAUUCUCAGUCCCUGUGUCUGGACUAGUCUGGACAGCGAACUGUAAUAUAUGUGUCGCUUCUGAAGCGCAGCUGUCAGCUGGGUGCCUUGGUUCCUGUAAUCCCAGUGGCUUGGGAGGCUGAGGCAGGAGGAUUGCAAGUAGAGGCCAGCAUCAGCAAUUUAGCAGGCCCUAAGCAACUCAGUGAAACCCUGUCUCAAAAAACUAAAAAGAGCUGGGGAUGUAGCUCAGUGGUAAAGUGCUCUUGGGUUAAAUCCCCAGCACCAAACGGAAAAACAAAACAAACAAACAAACAAACAAAAAGAAAUGUAGAUGGCACCUGGUUCUCUAAGUGCUCUUUCCCUGUCAUAGGAAGUGUGGAGUGCAACAAGAUCAAAGCGGCCUGGAUUGCUAAGUGGCCUUAAGGUGUUGUUCCACGCCAGGGAGGACUCUGUGUGAAUAGAAAAUAAGUGUGCUAAGUCACAGACAGGGCAGCACUGUGUGUGCAGACAAACUCCCUGUCCGACUGAGGCGGCACCCUUCUGCCUCGCGGACAGCCUGAAGCCCAGCUACCAACCGUGCCUUCCUUGUGGAGUGGCCCACAGAUCUCCAGACUUGGCACAGUUCAGCUCCUACUUCGGCCACUUACAGCUGCGUGGCCUUCGCUAGUCACCAUCUCUCUGGCUACUGUUUCUGUACCACAGAGCUAACAGCUGUCUGCUUCCAACCCCAGCCUGUCCUCCUGUCCAUCUUCCCAUCUUCCGCCCUGUUCUGAUCAUCUAACACCUAGCGAUUCUCAACUGCUCAUCAUGUAAGAUGCAGAUUCUCUGGUUCCCAAGGCCUUCAAAGAGCCAAUGCAGAGCAGGGAUGGUGGUGCUGUAAUCCCAACCACUCAGGAGGCUGAGGCAGGAGGAUCCCAAGUUCGAGGGCAGCCUCAGCAACUUAAUGAAAUCCUGUCUCAAAAUAAAAAUUAAAUGGGCUGGGGAGGUAGCUCAGUUGGUAGAGUGCUUGCCUUGCAUGCACAAAGCCCUGGGUUAAAAAACCAAAAACGUGCUGGGCUGCAGUGGCACAGGCCUGUAACCCCAGCGGCUCAGGAGGCAGAGGCAAGAGGAACACAAGUUCAAAGCCAGCCUCAGCAAUUUAGCGAGGCACUAAGCAACUCAGUGAGACCCUGUAUCUAAUAAAAUAGAAAACAGGGCUGGGGAUGUGGCUCAGUGGUUGAGUGCCCC
Molecule: long non-coding RNA, 3792 nt
Organism: Ictidomys tridecemlineatus (thirteen-lined ground squirrel)
Lineage: Eukaryota; Metazoa; Chordata; Mammalia; Rodentia; Sciuridae
Source: Ensembl